Molecule: unclassified non-coding RNA, 310 nt
Filed under: plant metagenome
Description: partial contains 5.8S ribosomal RNA, internal transcribed spacer 2, and large subunit ribosomal RNA
Rfam family: 5.8S ribosomal RNA (bases 1-105)
Source: RNAcentral
GAAAUGCGAUAAGUAGUGUGAAUUGCAGAAUUCAGUGAAUCUUCGAAUCUUUGAACGCACAUUGCGCCCCUUGGUAUUCCAUGGGGCAUGCCUGUUCGAGCAUCAUUUGUACCCUCAAGCUCUGCUUGGUGUUGGGUGUUUGUCCCCGUCUCCGCGCGUGGACUCGCCCCAAAGUGAUUGGCAGCCGGCGUACUGGUCCCGGAGCGCAGCACAUGUCGCGCAAACGAGUGCCUUGGUACGGCGGCGUCCAUAAGCCCCUCUCUCACGCUCUUGACCUCGGAUCAGGUAGGGAUACCCGCUGAACUUAAGC